Molecule: transfer RNA, 72 nt
Filed under: Desulfobulbus sp.
Lineage: Bacteria; Pseudomonadati; Thermodesulfobacteriota; Desulfobulbia; Desulfobulbales; Desulfobulbaceae
Description: tRNA-Ser
Rfam family: tRNA
About the family: Transfer RNA (tRNA) molecules are approximately 80 nucleotides in length. Their secondary structure includes four short double-helical elements and three loops (D, anti-codon, and T loops).
Source: RNAcentral
UUGGGUAUAAUUAAUCGGGACGCCUGCCUUGGGAGCAGGAGGUCGCAGGUUCGAAUCCUGCCGCCCCGACCA